This 70-nucleotide transfer RNA is filed under the name Fukomys damarensis (Damara mole-rat). It matches the Rfam family "tRNA". From Rfam's summary of the family: Transfer RNA (tRNA) molecules are approximately 80 nucleotides in length. Their secondary structure includes four short double-helical elements and three loops (D, anti-codon, and T loops). Further hydrogen bonds mediate the characteristic L-shaped molecular structure. tRNAs have two regions of fundamental functional importance: the anti-codon, which is responsible for specific mRNA codon recognition, and the 3' end, to which the tRNAs corresponding amino acid is attached (by aminoacyl-tRNA synthetases). tRNAs cope with the degeneracy of the genetic code in two manners: having more than one tRNA (with a specific anti-codon) for a particular amino acid; and 'wobble' base-pairing, i.e. permitting non-standard base-pairing at the 3rd anti-codon position. Lineage: Eukaryota; Metazoa; Chordata; Mammalia; Rodentia; Bathyergidae. The record is from Rfam by way of RNAcentral.
UGAGGUGUAACUUAGUAGUAGAGCAUGAGCUUAGCAAACUGCAGACUGGGUUCAAUCCCCAGCACCUUAA